Molecule: RNA transcript, 4484 nt
Organism: Hordeum vulgare subsp. vulgare (domesticated barley)
Lineage: Eukaryota; Viridiplantae; Streptophyta; Magnoliopsida; Poales; Poaceae
Gene name: trithorax group protein osa-like
Exons: 10
Source: RefSeq, a predicted model, not a curated record
UGUACACCCAAAUCCUCCCCACAGCACCGUCCCGGGGUCCGUCGCCGCCGAAACCCCUCCCCUCUUCUUCCUCCUCCUCCACCACCAUCACCACCACCUACACCAAAGUGCGCCUGCCUUCUCGAAACGUAGCAACUAGUUUGUCUCGCGAUCUCCCUCCCCGACCCCUUGUCCUGCUGCUGGGCUGGUGUGGCCGGGAGGCGAUUCUCUCUGCCGGCAUCAGAACCCUUACUGGAUAGAAGUUAGUGAGGCCGGACAAUGGGUUUCGAUAAUGAAUGUAUUCUGAAUAUACAAACUCUUCCUGGUGAAUAUUUUUGCCCUGUUUGUCGGACACUCAUAUACCCCAACGAAGCUCUGCAAGCUCAGUGCACACAUCUCUACUGCAAACCUUGCUUGGCUUAUGUAGCAGCAACCACACAAGCCUGCCCUUAUGAUGGUUACUUAGUGACGGAAGCUGAUUCCAAGCCUCUGGUGGAUUCAAAUAAAUCACUUGCUGAGACAAUUGGUAAAGUUACAGUACAAUGCCUGUACAACAAGAGUGGUUGCCAAUGGCAAGGAAACCUGUCUGAAUGCAACACACAUGGUACCGCUUGCGCCUAUGGGAACUCGCCUGUUGUUUGUAACCGUUGUGGUACUCAGAUUGUACAUCGUCAAGUGCAAGAACAUGCCCAGCUUUGUCCUGGCGUGCAAUCCCAAACACAACAGGCUGACGGUAGUCUGACACAGUCAUCAGCUGCAACGACCCAGGCAGUCACCCAAGAUCCGUCUGCAGUUUCCUCUGUGGCACCUGCAGCAGCUCCUACAGCUGGAGCUGUUACAGCUUCUGCAUUGCCAACUGGUUCAGCUGGUGUGACCACACCAAGCACAGUUGCCGUGGCCCCUUUUGCAGGGGCACCUACUUCUGCUACUCAAGGUCAAGCAGUUGCACCACAAAUUCAAACAGCCGAGCAGUACCAGCAGCAGCUCCAGUACCACCAGUACUACCAGCAGCAUUUCCCUGGCUACAAUCCAUACACCCAGCAGUAUCAACAGUAUGGCCAAUACCAACAGUACACACAACCUCAAACGCAAGUGGCACCGCAGAAUGUUGCCCAAGUUCCUGCACAACCUGCGCCAUAUGCUCAGCCUCAAUUCAUGCAGCCAUCACAGUCCCAACACAUGGUGCCAAAUCAGUCCCAGAAUCCUCAACUCCAAGCACCAGCUGUUCAGCCGCAGCCUCAGCAGAAUCCACCAUUGCAUUCCGCGCCACAAAUUCCACAGAUGCAACCACAAGGUGAUGUACAACCUAUAGCUCAUACCCAAGUUGGUAAUCAGCCAUUUGCAAUGCCUGCAACUCAAGCAAUAGCCUCCCAGGUGCAGCCAUAUGUGCAACCUCAUCCUCCACAUCAUCAGCAGGCUGUUGCCCAGCAACAACAACCGCAAAUGCAGUACCCACCUCAGCAGCAACAUCUUCAACCUCAGAUGCAGCACCAGCAUCCACAAGUGCAGCAGCAAUCGUACCCACAACCUAAUGUCUAUCAUCAGCCUCAUCCAGUUUCACAAUCUCAGAACCCUUCAGUACAUGCGGUAGCAGGUCAUCAAUCAUAUUCGCAGCCUCAGCCAGCACAUCAGAUGCCACAUGGUGCCGCAGUCCAGCACCCUGUACAUGCAUCUCACCAACAGUUAGUUGGUCCUCAGCAUCCUGCACUUGUACAUCCUCCUCAGGGUCAAUUUCCGUUGCAAGGCCAACAGCCAACCAUGUUGGCUCCUCAAGGUACUCAGCAUACACCACAACAUCAGCAGCAUGGGCAUCAGGCUCAGCGACCACCAAUGCAUCCCAGCAUCCCUCCGCAGGCACCACCACAAGGAUUUCCUCUUAACACACCCGUUCCUUCACAAACAGGUCAAUCAUACCAACAAGGAAUGCACUCAUCACAACAACAGAUGCAUCCUCAACCUUUCCAGCCCCACGGUCCACAAUAUAUGCAACAGCAGCAGCAUGUUCCAACCUCGACUAGCAGGUCUAUGAGUUAUGUUGCAACACCACAUCAGUUCCAAGAAUCAGGGAAGUCAGAAAGUGCAGCUAAUGCUACUGGCAAUACUGAAGUAGGUGAUAAUACAAAUGGAGGCGGUGAAUAUUCUGGCAUAAAGCCAGAAUCUCUGGGUGAUAAAAAUGCGAAUGGGGAGCAGAAUGAUUUUAGUAAUAUCAGAAAAAAUGUGGUACAAACUGGCAUUGCAUUGGGCGUUGCAGAUGGUUCAGACAAAGGCAAAGGAAAGGAUGAGUCUGGUGGCCAGGAAAGUAAUUCACAGUCUGAAGCUUCAAAUAUAUCCAAUGAUCUUGAGAAAGGAGGAUCAUUACAGCAGGCAUCACAGAAAAGCCAGGGAGCACUGGGUUCCUAUGUUCCCCCAGGCAUGGGCCGACAGCGUCCGUCUGGACCUGAUACCAUGCUUCCUCAGCAUAUGCUCCAUCCUGGUCCUGUGCCAUGUACUCAAGCCCAGACGAAUCAAAUGAGGCCACCUAGUCAUGGUUUUCCUGAAAAUGUCCGGCCUACAGUGCAGCAACAGCUAUAUGGUGUAUAUCAAUCUGAAAUGGCACCAAGGACGCUUGCACCAAACAUUCCGCGGGCUGUACCCACCAGACCUGAUGAUGGCAUGAUUCGACCGCCCAUGGCUGGACCCUUGCCUGGACAUCAUGACACAACUAUGCCUCCUUUUGCUUCAGAAAAUGUUGGCCGGCCACAUCCUGUUGGAAUGAGAAAUGGUGUUGGCGGGGAGCAACUUGCAAAUUCCAGGGCUUUCCACGAUGAAGGGUUCAAUUCUUCACGGGAACAUUUCAGGUCGUUGGGGCCACCAUAUCCUGGCAGAUACAAUGUCAACCCUAAAGAUAUUGAAGAGAAUAUUAAGCAAUUUCCAGGGCCAACUCAUCUUGAUGACGACAGUUUUCAGAGAGGCCCAAGGCCUUUUGAUGGUUUUGAUUCAUUUUCUGGAAGACCUCCAUUCCAAAACAAGCCAGGCCCAUAUCCUAUAGGCUUCCCUGAAGAUUUAUCAAGGAAGCCCCAUUCAAUUGUUGGUCAUCCUGACUUUGUGUCACCUGGUCCAGAAUUUGGCCAUCACAGGGUUGAUGGAAUGCCUAGAAACCCAGGUUCAUUUGUUCAAGGGAUGACAGCUGGUCCUGGAGGUCUUCAUAAGGACCAACUAGGCCCUGGCAACCUUCCAGGGAGUAGACAGCAUGAUUUUGACAAUCUAGCGUUCCCUCAUACACAUUUCCACCCUGCUGAUAUUUUUCUUCCAAGAAAUCUUCAUGGUUCUGAACCCCUUGGGCAUGGUCAAUUGCAUGGAAUUGAACCUUCUGGCCACCGGUUCCAAGGACACAUACAUCCAGAUGAUACAAAUUUUGAUGACUAUUCUCGACAUGGUUUUCCACAAGAAUCUGGCCGCUUCAGUUCGGGUGGUUUCUUCAGUAGUGGAGAUGUUGGUUGGUGCAGGAUAUGCACGUUUAACUGUGGGAGUGCAGAGGACCUGGGUCUACAUGUGCAUACAAGAGAACAUCAACAGCAUGCAAUGGACAUUGUUCUGAAAAUGAAGCAUGAUGCUGCGAAGCGACAGAAAAUGAAUCCUACAGGCCCCAAGUCAUUAAACAAAAAGGUAGCCAUGAAGGGCAACUUCUAUGGAAAUAGGCGUUAGAGCUCCUGUUACAUAGUUCAGCAUUCGAUGAGAUUUCAAGAAAUUGACAAGUAUAAGAAAUUCCAUGCGAGGGCUCCACGUUCAUAUGAUACUUGCAUGCUUUCCUGAAGGCGGUUGUGACACUGGACUUUUAUUCACAAUUGUCACAAGGCUACAAUAUAUUUUUAAUCUCCUAUGUAACAAAGCAUGAGACCACAUAAAUAUUUGAUGACCAAAUAAUGUUUAGUGAUAGUUUUUCAAAUUAUAUAUAUGGACUAUUUCAAAAUUUAGGGCAACCAACGAGAAUACUUUGUUUUUAGUGUCCAAGUGUUGUGAUCGCUUUGCUAGAUUUACCAUGUCUGUGCUAUUGCUUUUGAAGUAUUGUAGCACCCUACUGGGAGAUCAUAAUGAAUGCGUUGAAAGACUGAAAAACACUUAUGUCUAGUGUUGGUAAAUGUAAUGCUCUCGAGUAUCAUUGUCUCCGGUAAAAAUGAUAUUGUGUCCCCCUGAUUUAUAAUCUGGUGUACUUAGUACAAAUUUGUUUAUGUAGCAUUGCUGUGACUACGAAUUUUCUUUUCCCUUUUUGGUGUCGUUGUUGUAUUGCUAAAAAUUCCGCUAUGAACUCCUUUUGAGUUAUUUGUCAGAUUUUGUGGCUAGCGAUUAAUGUGUUGUGGAGUGUAAGAGCAUCUCCUGGCUUCAGUGACCAGAAAAGAAGUUUUAGAUAUCGGAGAAAAUUAGUGGAAAAUCCCUUAUAUUCUCUCUUCCUUUCUAUCUCUCUCUGUACCGUGCUUUCCCACUUGAAACAAUUUGUAUUUUUAUCACAUAAAAUGAUUCAAACAUUA